Molecule: RNA transcript, 4079 nt
Organism: Triticum aestivum (bread wheat)
Lineage: Eukaryota; Viridiplantae; Streptophyta; Magnoliopsida; Poales; Poaceae
Exons: 3
Source: RefSeq, a predicted model, not a curated record
UUUUUGGUUUAUUCUCCUAAAACUUACUAGUACUUGUUGAUUUCUUCUCCUAAAAAUUAUUCUCCUUCAGAUUUAUAGGCUUACAAAAAUCGAAAAUAGGUCAUACAGAUUCAGAAUGUUUAUUAGAUGCAUAAACGAAUUGAGAUUAUUUCUUGUGUGUUUAAUUUGUUACACAGAGAUAGAUCUACUUCUACUUGUUCAUGUACGAUAUAUGCUAGCAGGAAGUGUUGCUAGCCUGCUAGGUGAGUUCCUGUAUAGCUAAACCAUGUAUUUAUGCAAGGCUUGACUAACAUGUAUGAUGAUUUUGCAUUUGUUUCGGCCUACUAUGGAAAAUGGACUGAACUUCCUGGUAGUGUACGCUACAGGAUAUCCAUUUUCUGAUUUGAUUUUUUUAUAUCAGUGCUCACCUGGCGAGGAAGGUCAUUUCCAUACUAUGAAGAUCUUUUCGCUCUAUAUGAUGGACGCUAUGCUCAGGGAAGGAGUUGUCAUGGCAUGGAUUAUUAUGCGAACAAAGCAACGCAACUCUCACAGUUUCCCACAUCACAUUCACCACAAUUGCAAGGGCCAGAGGCGCAUUUGCACACACCUACACCAACCAUACAUGCUCCUGGUGAUUCAUCCAUGCAAUUUGAAAUUGAAGAGGAUAGUGAAAACACAAAUUGGUUUUCUAGCAACAAUACAUUCAGUCAAGUGGAGGCAAACCCGACUCAAGGAAAUGACUUGACAUUACAUGCUCCAUCGCAAGUUGAAACAAUACCAAUUUCCUCACAACGUGUUGGACAGACCUUGCAUGAAAUUCCACAAGUUGUACAUCGCAAUCCUCGACCAUCUAGCUCAGCUCCUGUGGUUACCAGCAGCAAGAGAGCGAAAAAGCAAAAGACGACUAGUAUUGAUGAUUUUCAUGAGAGAUACCUGAAACUCAGAAGGGAAGAAAUAGAUAGGUUUGCAGCCAUUGAGGAGAGGAAAUUAAAGGACCCCUUCAGCAUCAAAAAAUGCAUCAAAGCACUUGAAAAGUUGGAGGGUCUUUCGAUGGCAGAUAUGCUAAAAGCAGCGGACAUCUUCACCGCCAACAAGGAGAACAGGGAAGUAUUUCUAUCAUUUUCAAGUAACGAAUUACGAUUAGGUUGGUUGACUGGAAAAGUUCGGAAUACCUAAUCAAAUGAAAUUAGUAUUUCGUGCUAGCCUAAAAUUGAGAUAUAUUUUGUACAUGUGCAUUUAUGGACACAUGGUUAUGAUCCUUGGCGUAGGUAACUUGUAAUAGAAUGUGAUAUAUUUUGUACAUGUGCAUCUCUGGGCACAUGGGUGUGAUCCUUGUCAUAGUUAACUUGUAGUAGGUUGUGCAUGUGCAAUACUGGGCACAUGAUUGUGGAAGUGUCAAAAUCAUUCAACUUUUAAUGCAGUGUUAAAUGGCUCUUAAAGCAAUGUCUUUCUGCAGUGUUUGACUAAAAUAAUCAUAUUAAAUGAGUGGAGUACAGUACAGCCAAAUAAUUACAUAACAUGAGAGAAAAUUACACAAUACAUAUGCUUAUCUUUUGGCAAUGUAAUCUGCCCACAUUUGCAUUGCCAUGGCAUCUCGCAUCUCAUUUCCAGCUUGUCUCAAGUUGUUAAAUACAAUCACAUCUUUUUUGUAUUUCACAUCUCCAUCUGGUACAUCCUUCAUAUUGCUUUCAUUAAAAUCCAUUGUAGCUCUGUCAGGCAGUGUCAUAUCUCCAUCGUGUAGCCUUAUGAAAUUGUGCAAUACACAACAAGCUACAACAGUAUCAACUUGUGUGUCAAUAUCAAACAUUGUAGCUGCCUUUAGUAUGGGAUACCUUGCUUUCAGUAUGCCAAUAAUUCUUUCGACAUGAUUUCGUAGUUGAGCAUGUCGAAGGUUAAAUAACUCCUUGUAGCAUUGUGGCCUUUGUUGAACUCUUCCUUGUUCUUGUAAAUUAUAUCUAGUUCCUCGGUAUGGAGCAAUGAAUUGGGGUGUAUUUGCAAAACCCGCAUCUACAAGAUAAAAUUUACCAGGCGGUACAUUGAAUCCAUGGUCUAGUGCAUCUUGCAAAACCCUUGCAUCUGAUGCAGAUCCCUCCCAUCCAGCAUGUACAUGCACAAACUUCAUGUCAAAAUCACAGGCAACCAUUACGUUUUGUGAAAGACUUUGUUUUCUAUUUCUGUAUGGAUCUUGUUGCCCAGGAGGAAUAGUCAUGGGAAAGUGAGUACCAUCUAUAGCUCCAAUACAGUUCUGCAGAUUUAGUUCUAUAGUUAGAUAUAUAAAUAUAAGCUAGAUUUACUCAAUACCAAUUCACCAUGAUAGGACUUGAAAACAAUUACCUUAAAGUAUGAAAACUUUUGUUGCCUUAAUAUAGGAUGCUGGUGUAUAGAAGGUUGUAUGUAGUUGCAUGUGAGCCGUGUAAUCGCGCUGAGCACGGCGUGGAAGUAAGUACUAACUGAAUAUGCACCGUGCUGGAAUCUGUCUUGCAAUGUUCUGUUGGUUGCGUUCUUUGAUACUGCAUAUAAAAAUAUGGCUACUUGCUCUUGCACAGAGAUAUACCUUGCAUCCUGGAGAAGUCGCUUUUCUUGCAGUUUUUGUACUAAAGCUUGAAAGAUUGAUCUCUCCAUAUGGAACCGCCAUUCACAUAGAACCUCGUGGCCGGUAAGAGCUUCAUGCACAUAAGUAGCUCCAUUCAAGAUGGAUGUAUGUAUUGCUCUCCUCUCAGAUGAUUGGGAUGAGCUACCUUGUACUGUAGGGAGUAUGAAAUGUACAAAAUCAUCUUCGUUUCUUGACCGCCGGCUAUAGUUUGGAUACAUUCAGCUUCAGGAAUGAAUGGAUUUUGAGGUUAGAAGAAUGAAUGGAUUCCUGCUACAAGAAUGAACUAUGCUUUCCUAGAGAAGUUCUUACAGGGGAGGAGAAGAAAUGACAAGCAAGUUGCUGGCAGUGCAUUGUUUGUGCUUAAAUAGCAAGAGAAAGAAGAAGCAAUGGCUAGAGAAACAACAGCAAGAAUACAAUGCCCAAGCACAUAACGGCUAGUUCUGUUUCCUAGAGAAGUGUGCAGAUUCCAAAACUUUUUCCCUUUGUUCAGAACACCCCCAUAAGUUCCCAUUCCUCUUAGUGGAAGCCUGUAGGUUUCACUUUGCACUCCAUCCCAUACCUAUGCUUUUUCCUUCUCCUCUGUUUUGUCAACCCAUGUCCCGAACAGGGCCUAAAGGGAAAAACUGUCCCAAAUAAUCUGAUGUGCGGGCCCAUAUGUAGAAAUAGAGGAAAACGUUUAGCUUGUGCCAUUUUGUCUAGCUAUCAAUGAAACGUGUGCCGUUUUAUCAAAAAAAUGAAAGGUGGGUCAUACGAUAAAUGUACGAGGAAAAGUGUUGUCAUUUUAUCAAGUUGCUCAUCUUUGAUUAACUAUGUAUAGUUUUAGCUUUCGCAAACCAGCGUCUCUUGGCUUGCCCUACUACUUACGAAGCAAAAUGACAUGUCUAUGUGGUCUGCACUUUAUUAGUUAUACAUGGCUUCACAUGACUUUGUGCGGCAGACAAGGCGUACUUGUUUCACCACUAAUGAACUGUACAUAUUGUUUUCUUGAUUUUUUUUACUUUAGCUACAUAGAUGCUCAGUAUGUUUCAUAAAUGUACCAUUUGGGGAAGUGUUUAUGCAUCUUAAUUAGGCAUGAGUAAGAUUAGAACAAGUCAAGUUAUGUACAUUUUGAAAUAUAUCCAAACUAGAUAUAGUUUCAGUCAGUUGAAUCACAUACGCUUGCAUGGUUAUGCCAAUUGUUGUUUGCCUGCCAAUCUGAUACUAUUUCGAAACAUUUUAGGUCAAAAAGCCAAAGCUGACCACUCCAACACAACCUAAGACAUUUGUGCUCCAAGACAACGUCAAGACAUUUGGUAGCUGAGAAUUUAGAAUUGGAACGCAUUGCAGGAGCAAGGAGCAACCACACAAGAAUUAGUCUUUAAAUGAACACAUAUUAUGUAUAAUGUAUGGAAAGCUUAGUUCUAGUUUGUAGUAUCUUUUAAUUAUUUACAUAUUUCAUAUGAAUGUUGGAUCUGAUGCAGUUGUGAACUCCAUGUCUCCAUACACUUUUAGUGGAUGUAUUUGUUCC